GUCAUAAUACAUUUAAUUUUUAAUAUCACCUGUGAGACAUUUACAAAGUUUGUUUUCAUUCGAACUCAUACUUCCAGUUCUCGUUUUCCAAAACUCACUUUUGCCAUUUCCUUAUAUCAACGUCAUACAUAUAUACAUUUGUACCUAUAUACAUUUUGUACAAUUACAUAACUAUAAAUAUCAUGAAAAAAUUUACAAUACGUUCAUUGCUCUCGAUACGUCACUAUGUUAUAAUUGCAAAAAUUUUUCAAAUUUAAAAAUCAAAUUUAAAGAAUUCUAACAUUGUGUUGGAUAACACUGAUCAGUGAGUCUACUCUAAAUAAAUAUCAAGUUUAUAACCAUAUUCUAUUUUAAAAAAGAAAUUUAGGAGGUUAAAGAGAUAGUACUAGUAUACUAAAGUUUCGUCUUUUGUAACGGUCAUUUGUUUCAUGCAAAAUUUGGUCAUUUAAAAAUCAAAAUCAGCAUAUAAAGUUUUUUGAAACGUUCUAUCACCAAUAACUAAGGCAUGCCCUAUAAAAAAUAAAGAACCCUUUAACUCUGUGGCCAAUAGAUGUGCCUAUAUUGAUACUGCCAUUAUAUAAGCUUUGGAUUUCAAAUAUUUUGGCCACGAGCAUCACUGAAGAGACAUGUAUUGUUGAAAUGCGCAUCUGGUGCAGAAACAUUGGUACCGUUAAUGUUAUUACUACCAUUGGGUCGAUGCCUCUGCUGGUGGACUGUUAGUCCCUGAGGGUAUCACCAGCCCAGUAGCCAGUACUUCGGUACUGGCAUGAAAAUACGGAUUUUUUGUGUUAUUAAGAUUUGCUGUUACAAAAUGUUAGAAAUUAUUAUAAAUUAAGGAAUAUAUCUCCCUUAUGCAAAGCUCUGAUUCCUUUUAGGAUUUGGCUAUACUUUUUGGACCUUUUGGAUCAUAGCUCUUCAUCUUUUACAUAAGCUUUGGAUUUCAAAUAUUUUGGCCACGACCAUCUCUGAAGAGACAUGUAUUGUCGAAAUGCGCAUCUGGUGCAGAAAAAUUGGUACCGUUAAUGUUAUUUAUUAACAUAUUGUGGCCAUGAGUACUGUAUCAUAUUUCUUUUUACAAAACAGUUUAGGUUGUAUGAUGCAAAAUUUGGUUAAGAUUUGUAAAAAAAUAGAAUAUCAUGCCCUAUUUAUUUCUUGGAUAAACUCCAACUUGUUAAACAUUACACUGAAAUACGGAUUAUUUACAUUUAGCGGAAAAUAUGGCAGUCUAAUCCACUUUUUUUAUUUAAUUAUUUUUCUGAAUGGAUUAUUCCAUAUUUGAUUUAAUUGACUUUUAUUUUU
RNAcentral lists this long non-coding RNA (1299 nucleotides) under Mytilus galloprovincialis (Mediterranean mussel). Lineage: Eukaryota; Metazoa; Mollusca; Bivalvia; Mytilida; Mytilidae. The record is from RNAcentral.